RNAcentral lists this ribosomal RNA (359 nucleotides) under uncultured bacterium. RNAcentral's name for it is "bacterial SSU rRNA". It matches the Rfam family "Bacterial small subunit ribosomal RNA", at positions 29 to 417 of the family's 1533-position model. The record is from RNAcentral.
AACGAACGCUGGCGGCAGGCCUAACACAUGCAAGUCGAACGCCCCGCAAGGGGAGUGGCAGACGGGUGAGUAACGCGUGGGAACGUACCCUUCGGUUCGGAAUAACCCGGGGAAACUCGGGCUAAUACCGGAUACGUCCGCAAGGAGAAAGAUUUAUCGCCGAAGGAUCGGCCCGCGUCGGAUUAGCUAGUUGGUGGGGUAAUGGCCCACCAAGGCGACGAUCCGUAGCUGGUCUGAGAGGAUGAUCAGCCACACUGGGACUGAGACACGGCCCAGACUCCUACGGGAGGCAGCAGUGGGGAAUCUUGCGCAAUGGGCGAAAGCCUGACGCAGCGACGCCGCGUGAGGGAUGACGGCCU